This 264-nucleotide ribosomal RNA is filed under the name uncultured archaeon. RNAcentral's name for it is "partial 16S ribosomal RNA". It matches the Rfam family "Archaeal small subunit ribosomal RNA", at positions 717 to 982 of the family's 1478-position model. The record is from RNAcentral.
AGACGUCUACAUUAGAUACCCGGGUAGUCCUAGCCGUAAACGAUACUCGCUAGGUGUCGGCCACGGUGCGACCGUUGUCGGUGCCGUAGGGAAGCCGUGAAGCGAGCCACCUGGGAAGUACGGCCGCAAGGCUGAAACUUAAAGGAAUUGGCGGGGAGCACCACAACAGGUGGAGCCUGCGGUUUAAUUGGACUCAACGCCGGGAAGCUCACCGGAUAGGACAGCAGAAUGAUUGCCGGGCUGAAGACCCUGCAUGACUAGCUG